GAUGAAGAACGUAGCAAAAUGCGAUAAGUAAUGUGAAUUGCAGAAUUCAGUGAAUCAUCGAAUCUUUGAACGCACAUUGCGCCCGCUGGUAUUCCGGCGGGCAUGCCUGUUCGAGCGUCAUUUCAACCCUCAAGCCCCCGGGUUUGGUGUUGGGGAUCGGCUCUGCCCUUCUGGGCGGUGCCGCCCCCGAAAUACAAUGGCGGUCUCGCUGCAGCCUCCAUUGCGUAGUAGCUAACACCUCGCAACUGGAACGCGGCGCGGCCAUGCCGUAAAACCCCAACUUCUGAAUGUUGACCUCGGAUCAGGUAGGAAUACCCGCUGAACUUAAGCAUAUCAAUAAGCGGAGGA
Molecule: unclassified non-coding RNA, 348 nt
Filed under: soil metagenome
Description: partial contains 5.8S ribosomal RNA, internal transcribed spacer 2, and large subunit ribosomal RNA
Rfam family: 5.8S ribosomal RNA (bases 1-120)
Source: RNAcentral